AAGGGACAAGAUCUCUGAGAGGGGGAUCUCCUGCAGGAGGGAGGGGUGGACGAGAGGAGAGGAGAGGAGAGGACAAGAGUGUGAAGACUUAAGACUGGUACCUGAUGGCACGGUUGGACUCGUCCAGGUCGGGAUCAUGGAGGUCACAGAGGUCAUUUGGACUUGUCUCCAGCAGCAGACCUCCGUCAGGUGUUAGUGCUUCGUCCAUGUCGUCCAACAGACCUCCUCUGUCCACAUCAUGGUCGUCCAGGCAACCGUCGGCCAUCAUGACAUCAGAAUCUGCCCCUGGACUGAGGAGGUCUAGAAGAAGAGGAUACAGAUGUCAUCGAUGUCACGAGCCGACCUGGUGUUUGUGUUACGAACCGCCUCCACCAGGUCUCCUUCCUGGAUCUGAGAAGCCGAGCGCAGCAGCUGCAGCAUGUUCUCUGAGCCUUGGUCAU
Long non-coding RNA from Cynoglossus semilaevis (tongue sole), 440 nucleotides. RefSeq lists it as uncharacterized. Lineage: Eukaryota; Metazoa; Chordata; Actinopteri; Pleuronectiformes; Cynoglossidae. The transcript is spliced from 3 exons. The record is from RefSeq and is a predicted model, not a curated record.